This 3060-nucleotide ribosomal RNA is filed under the name Campylobacter jejuni. RNAcentral describes it as "partial 23S ribosomal RNA". It matches the Rfam family "Bacterial large subunit ribosomal RNA". Lineage: Bacteria; Pseudomonadati; Campylobacterota; Epsilonproteobacteria; Campylobacterales; Campylobacteraceae. The record is from RNAcentral.
AAAAAAGGUAAGCUACUAAGAGCGAAUGGUGGAUGCCUUGACUGGUAAAGGCGAUGAAGGACGUACUAGACUGCGAUAAGCUACGGGGAGCUGUCAAGAAGCUUUGAUCCGUAGAUUUCCGAAUGGGGCAACCCAAUGUAUAGAGAUAUACAUUACCUAUAUAGGAGCGAACGAGGGGAAUUGAAACAUCUUAGUACCCUCAGGAAAAGAAAUCAAUAGAGAUUGCGUCAGUAGCGGCGAGCGAAAGCGCAAGAGGGCAAACCCAGUGCUUGCACUGGGGGUUGUAGGACUGCAAUGUGCAAGAGCUGAGUUUAGCAGAACAUUCUGGAAAGUAUAGCCAUAGAGGGUGAUAGUCCCGUAUGCGAAAAACAAAGCUUAGCUAGCAGUAUCCUGAGUAGGGCGGGACACGAGGAAUCCUGUCUGAAUCCGGGUCGACCACGAUCCAACCCUAAAUACUAAUACCAGAUCGAUAGUGCACAAGUACCGUGAGGGAAAGGUGAAAAGAACUGAGGUGAUCAGAGUGAAAUAGAACCUGAAACCAUUUGCUUACAAUCAUUCAGAGCACUAUGUAGCAAUACAGUGUGAUGGACUGCCUUUUGCAUAAUGAGCCUGCGAGUUGUGGUGUCUGGCAAGGUUAAGCAAACGCGAAGCCGUAGCGAAAGCGAGUCUGAAUAGGGCGCUUAGUCAGAUGCUGCAGACCCGAAACGAAGUGAUCUAUCCAUGAGCAAGUUGAAGCUAGUGUAAGAACUAGUGGAGGACUGAACCCAUAGGCGUUGAAAAGCCCCGGGAUGACUUGUGGAUAGGGGUGAAAGGCCAAUCAAACUUCGUGAUAGCUGGUUCUCUCCGAAAUAUAUUUAGGUAUAGCGUUGUGUCGUAAUAUAAGGGGGUAGAGCACUGAAUGGGCUAGGGCAUACACCAAUGUACCAAACCCUAUCAAACUCCGAAUACCUUAUAUGUAAUCACAGCAGUCAGGCGGCGAGUGAUAAAAUCCGUCGUCAAGAGGGAAACAACCCAGACUACCAGCUAAGGUCCCUAAAUCUUACUUAAGUGGAAAACGAUGUGAAGUUACUUAAACAACCAGGAGGUUGGCUUAGAAGCAGCCAUCCUUUAAAGAAAGCGUAAUAGCUCACUGGUCUAGUGAUUUUGCGCGGAAAAUAUAACGGGGCUAAAGUAAGUACCGAAGCUGUAGACUUGCACACAACUUAGAUUAUUUAAGUUUAGAAUAUGAGAAACUAAGUUAUAUGUUUAGUUAUAUUUUUACUGAUUUUUAUAGAGUAAAGAUAGAAAUAAAACUUAGUAAAAUCAGUAAAAAUAUUCUUAGACUAAAGUUAAGUAGUUUAAGUUGUGUGCAAGUGGUAGGAGAGCGUUCUAUUUGCGUCGAAGGUAUACCGGUAAGGAGUGCUGGAGCGAAUAGAAGUGAGCAUGCAGGCAUGAGUAGCGAUAAUUAAUGUGAGAAUCAUUAACGCCGUAAACCCAAGGUUUCCUACGCGAUGCUCGUCAUCGUAGGGUUAGUCGGGUCCUAAGUCGAGUCCGAAAGGGGUAGACGAUGGCAAAUUGGUUAAUAUUCCAAUACCAACAUUAGUGUGCGAUGGAAGGACGCUUAGGGCUAAGGGGGCUAGCGGAUGGAAGUGCUAGUCUAAGGUCGUAGGAGGUUGUACAGGCAAAUCCGUAUAACAAUACUCCGAGAACUGAAAGGCUUUUUGAAGUCUUCGGAUGGAUAGAAGAACCCCUGAUGCCGUCGAGCCAAGAAAAGUUUCUAAGUUUAGCUAAUGUUGCCCGUACCGUAAACCGACACAGGUGGGUGGGAUGAGUAUUCUAAGGCGCGUGGAAGAACUCUCUUUAAGGAACUCUGCAAAAUAGCACCGUAUCUUCGGUAUAAGGUGUGGUUAGCUUUGUAUUAGGAUUUACUCCGAAAGCAAGGAAACUUACAACAAAGAGUCCCUCCCGACUGUUUACCAAAAACACAGCACUCUGCUAACUCGUAAGAGGAUGUAUAGGGUGUGACGCCUGCCCGGUGCUCGAAGGUUAAUUGAUGGGGUUAGCAUUAGCGAAGCUCUUGAUCGAAGCCCGAGUAAACGGCGGCCGUAACUAUAACGGUCCUAAGGUAGCGAAAUUCCUUGUCGGUUAAAUACCGACCUGCAUGAAUGGCGUAACGAGAUGGGAGCUGUCUCAAAGAGGGAUCCAGUGAAAUUGUAGUGGAGGUGAAAAUUCCUCCUACCCGCGGCAAGACGGAAAGACCCCGUGGACCUUUACUACAGCUUGACACUGCUACUUGGAUAAGAAUGUGCAGGAUAGGUGGGAGGCUUUGAGUAUAUGACGCCAGUUGUAUAUGAGCCAUUGUUGAGAUACCACUCUUUCUUAUUUGGGUAGCUAACCAGCUUGAGUUAUCCUCAAGUGGGACAAUGUCUGGUGGGUAGUUUGACUGGGGCGGUCGCCUCCCAAAUAAUAACGGAGGCUUACAAAGGUUGGCUCAGAACGGUUGGAAAUCGUUCGUAGAGUAUAAAGGUAUAAGCCAGCUUAACUGCAAGACAUACAAGUCAAGCAGAGACGAAAGUCGGUCUUAGUGAUCCGGUGGUUCUGUGUGGAAGGGCCAUCGCUCAAAGGAUAAAAGGUACCCCGGGGAUAACAGGCUGAUCUCCCCCAAGAGCUCACAUCGACGGGGAGGUUUGGCACCUCGAUGUCGGCUCAUCGCAUCCUGGGGCUGGAGCAGGUCCCAAGGGUAUGGCUGUUCGCCAUUUAAAGCGGUACGCGAGCUGGGUUCAGAACGUCGUGAGACAGUUCGGUCCCUAUCUGCCGUGGGCGUAAGAAGAUUGAAGAGAUUUGACCCUAGUACGAGAGGACCGGGUUGAACAAACCACUGGUGUAGCUGUUGUUCUGCCAAGAGCAUCGCAGCGUAGCUAAGUUUGGAAAGGAUAAACGCUGAAAGCAUCUAAGCGUGAAGCCAACUCUAAGAUGAAUCUUCUCUAAGCUCUCUAGAAGACUACUAGUUUGAUAGGCUGGGUGUGUAAUGGAUGAAAGUCCUUUAGCUGACCAGUACUAAUAGAGCGUUUGGCUUAUCUU